Long non-coding RNA from Lathyrus oleraceus (garden pea), 804 nucleotides. RefSeq lists it as uncharacterized. The transcript has 4 exons. The record is from RefSeq and is a predicted model, not a curated record. Lineage: Eukaryota; Viridiplantae; Streptophyta; Magnoliopsida; Fabales; Fabaceae.
CAAUUGUGUAAGAACCCUAAGUUGAUUUUCCAGAAAUUAAAUGUUCAGUGAUGGAGAUUAAAGGUUAACAGGUUAGGGCUUGGAUCUCCUAACCUGACACUACAUCAUGAUAACCAGAUCAAAGUGGGAACAAAGGUUUGAAUAAAAUACCUGUCGGAGACGACGAUGGAGGUGGCGGCAACAGUAAUGAGAUUCUCAGAACCAGCUUGUGAUGACUUGAAUUGAUUGCCAUUGCUUGAUGUAUUUUGUGGGAUGGAUGAGGUCUUGUCUUGCAGCCCUGGGAGUCAGUUUGCAGGUUUACAACAUGAUGAUAUUGUGCAGACCUUGGUUUCAUGUGACUUUACAGGGUCAUAUUGUGUUGCAAGUACUUCUGAAAUGCAUACUGAUUGCAGUAUAGUGGCUUGGCCCUUUAGCUUUAUGCUUAACUGCUAGUUCUUGACUGAUGCGGUCCCUUGCUCAUGGUUAGGCACAUGGGGUGGGCAAAGAUUACAUGCCACCAAAGGUUAAGUUUUGGAUAGUCAUGGUGCACAAGGUGAAACUUCAAGACCAAGGAUCACAAUUCAAGAUUAAGAGGAUGAUUAGAAUUGACAUUGGGAUUUUUAGGGCUUGGGUUGACUUUGGUCAAAGUUGACCAAAAAGUCAGCAGUUGACCAAAGUCAACAUGUGGUCAAACUUCCAUUUUCUUGUAAACUUUCCAAUGCUUGAGUGAAUUGAGAUUGAAAUGAAUGAAUUUGAUGAUUAUGGCCAUGCCUUGAAUUGAAAUGUACCCAUUGAAUUUUAUGUAAACUUGACCUUUGAACUAAA